Papio anubis (olive baboon) is the source of this 108-nucleotide small nuclear RNA. Lineage: Eukaryota; Metazoa; Chordata; Mammalia; Primates; Cercopithecidae. The record is from Ensembl.
UUAAAUACUUCACUUAAAAAUAAUUAAUACUUGGAAUGAUACAGAGAAGAUUAGCAUGGCCCCUGUGUAAGGAUGACAGGAAAAAAAAAUACUGUGUUUUAAAUGUUU